This 468-nucleotide ribosomal RNA is filed under the name uncultured bacterium. RNAcentral describes it as "partial 16S ribosomal RNA". It matches the Rfam family "Bacterial small subunit ribosomal RNA", at positions 28 to 507 of the family's 1533-position model. The record is from RNAcentral.
GAUGAACGCUGGCGGCGUGCUUAACACAUGCAAGUCGGACGGAAAGGCCCUGCUCUUGUGGGUUGCUCGUGUGGCGCACGGGUGAGUAUCACGUGAGUAACCUGCACCUGACUUUGGGAUAACUUCAGGAAAAUGGGGCUCUUACCGGAUAGGAGCUCCUGCUGCAUGGUGGGGGUUGGAGAGUUUCGGCGGUUGUGGAUGGACUCGCGGCUUAUGCGCUUGUUGGUGGGGUAGUUGCUUACGAAGGCUUUGAAGGGUAGGCGGCCUGGGCGCUUGACCAGCCACAAUGGGACUGAGAGACGGCGCAGACGGCAACGGGAGGCAGCGGUGGAGAAUAUGGCACAAUGGGCGGAAGCCAGAUGCGACAACCCUGCGUGCGGGAUGACGUCUUUCGAGUUGUAAACCGCUUUCUCCUGAGACGAAGCCGGAGUGACGGUAACUAGUAAGAAAGCACCGGCUAACUACGUG